AUUAGGGCGUGAAUUAGAGAAGGGGGGUGGGGGUGUUGGCAGUUAUGUUACUGGCUUGCAGACCUAACAGGUGCCUUAUCAAUUAACUUCAAGG
Myotis davidii is the source of this 94-nucleotide long non-coding RNA. RefSeq lists it as uncharacterized. Lineage: Eukaryota; Metazoa; Chordata; Mammalia; Chiroptera; Vespertilionidae. The record is from RefSeq and is a predicted model, not a curated record. The transcript is spliced from 3 exons.